GAAGCCAACAGGCGAGUGGCGAAGGUGGCGGCAGCGGCGGCGGGGGCAGUCACCGGCUAGGGCGACGGCUCCGAGGCCGAGUGGCGGUCCGACAGAGUCCUCCGUGUCCUCCCCCGCAUGACCCCCUUGUUUAUUCAAUGCAAAAGAAUCCUCUCCAAUUUUACUGAGGUGGCUGACCACGUCCACGACCAAAUCCGUCUCAACUGGAAUUUGGCUGCUGACCCAGCCCCAGCCUCAGCUUUCUUGUCGGCACUAAGUGGCACAGCACUCCAUCUGUAGAUGGAGUCUUGCUCUGUCACCUAGGCUGGAGUGCAUUGGUGUGAUCACGGCUCACUGCAACCUCUGCCUCCCAGGUUCAAACAAUUCUCCUGCCUCAGCCUCUUGAGUAGCUGGGAUUACAGGGUCUGGCUCUGUCACCCAGGCUGGAGUGCAGUGACACGAUCUCAGCUCACUGUAACCUCCGCCU
RNAcentral lists this long non-coding RNA (466 nucleotides) under Homo sapiens (human). RNAcentral's name for it is "non-protein coding lnc-RABEPK-2:1". The record is from RNAcentral. Lineage: Eukaryota; Metazoa; Chordata; Mammalia; Primates; Hominidae.